Molecule: long non-coding RNA, 350 nt
Organism: Chenopodium quinoa (quinoa)
Lineage: Eukaryota; Viridiplantae; Streptophyta; Magnoliopsida; Caryophyllales; Amaranthaceae
Exons: 3
Source: RefSeq, a predicted model, not a curated record
UCUUUUCUCAUGCUUUCUAUCUUCUAAUUGAUGAACUUGUCUCUUUUUCCUCUACCUUUUCACGGUUUUACCUCAAACUCUCGCUUUAUCACUCCUACAAAUUCAAGCCAUGAAAUUCGAAGGCUUGCAAGGAACCUUCUGAUCGGUUCUUUAUCUCCAAUUUUAACAAUCAGGAAUUGGAGCUUCUUAGAGUUGAUGCAUAGAGGAUACGAUGGUAGAUGCAGUUGCGGUGGUGUAUUAAUGUUCUUGACUCACUCGACCUUAUUCCAGUUACAUAUAUCCAACCAAAAAGAAGGAAAAAAAGAGUUAUGCAAGCGCAAGGAAUGCACAAGUAGUCAAGUAAGCAUAAU